GCUAGUUCAGAGGCUUAAUAAAACAUAACUUACUAACAUUAAGUUCAAAAUUUGAAGAAACAACUCAGUAAAACGUAGAAACGUUUUGACAUAAUAUUCCUACAAGAAACAAAAUUUGAAAUGGAAAAACACAUAUUACAUUCCAGUGAAAGCUUUCUUCCCGCCACCACCAGAACCAGCCGGAAUCACCUUCAAGACAUUGAACCUCACGGUUUUGGAUAAAGGCCUGCACUGUCCAAUAGUAACAUGAUCUCCCUCU
Molecule: unclassified non-coding RNA, 259 nt
Filed under: Hevea brasiliensis (rubber tree)
Lineage: Eukaryota; Viridiplantae; Streptophyta; Magnoliopsida; Malpighiales; Euphorbiaceae
Source: RNAcentral